Triticum dicoccoides is the source of this 2091-nucleotide long non-coding RNA. RefSeq lists it as uncharacterized. The transcript has 6 exons. Lineage: Eukaryota; Viridiplantae; Streptophyta; Magnoliopsida; Poales; Poaceae. The record is from RefSeq and is a predicted model, not a curated record.
CCAUCUCUUCUUUCUCUCAAACGUGAAACAGAGGGAGCCAGGGAGGCGACCGGCGACAGCCACGACCGUAACCCAGGCCAGGAACGCCGGCGACGAAGGCUAUCACCGGAGACCGAAGAAGACGACCAGUUGUGAGGAUCCCUAAUUGGAGCUCCAAGGAAGCGGUACCUGAAUCGCCGUUCAUUCAGAACAAAAAAAAAUCUUCGUUCAAGUGUAACUGAAAGUUGCAUUUUCAGGACUCCAGGAGCAAACUGAUUGAUGACGGUUGCCGCCGACUUCUGCUACCAAAAAUCCCAAGGUUUUGUUUCUUGUAUCUUCCUGAAUGAUCAAUUAGCCUACCUUGCGCACAGAGGUACAUGUAACUUGGCUUCAGGUCCUAGCCAAAUCAGUCCUACUGUGCGGCACAGGUAACAACAACGUACAGCUGCAACCGAAGGAGUUAUGUGAUAUGUGGAGUACGUGCAGAUGGAGGCAACAGUGGGAGAUGGAGCAGAAUAAGAUUAGAAACCAUGUUCCAGUGUGUCACUAUAUUGAUUCGACAUUUGGUAAGUAUGUGUCCGCUGGUGUUACAAUAAUGCUAGAGUGUGCAAAAAAUUAUGCCAUUAUAAUCGUGAUUUCAGUGCAAGAAUUUUGUAGCCGGUGAUAUGCAUGUUUGAUAAGCUUUUGGACACUAGCCUACUGAAAACCAAGGUGCCAAAUCAAUGAUUGUUCAUCAAAUAAAACCCAUGUUUAUAAGUAUACCUUUAAGUUAAUUUCACUCAGGGACCUGUAUAACAUUCUAUAGUUACUGCAGCUAUGCGCCUGGACAUUAAAAUUUAUUGUGUCUUUAAUGGCAGGAAAGUAUACAGUCUGUAAUAACCGAAAUGAUAGAGAAGGGGUCCUGAAUCUUUUGUUAGUUGGAUUCGCAGUAGUGUUACACCCACCAUGUUAGGUUCCAGGAUUCAAGAUGAGGUGGACGUCCAAGUGAGAGUGCAAACAUGUUUCUGUGGUCACCUAAAUUUUCUUAGUGUCUAGAGAUUUUGUAUUCUCUCUGAUGUUCUUUGAACUUCUGAUGUCCGAGAUUGCCCAUUCGAUAUGAAUUAGUAAAGAAUGAAUGUACUAAUUAGGUUGUUCCCUAGGUUCCUUGCCACCUAGAGGAGCUGUAGAAUUUUAAUUGUGGGGGAAAAAGUAGACAUGUGAUGAUUUGAGUUAAAAAAACGUAGAAGGAUUUGGCUUUCGUACUAGGUUGUUUACUACCAUGAGGAGCUCCAAAGGCUUAACAAAUGCACCUAGCUUAAAGUUGUGGUUUCCGGUUCUUGUGUCUGAGACAUGGCACAUGAAUUUCAGUGACCAUUAUUUGUAGGAAAUCAGUGAGACGUUUGUGUAGUACUAUCUUCAUAUUAAUUUGUUCACAAGACUAUUCUUAGAGGUGUAGUUAAUAACAUUGGCCAUCAUAGCUGCAUCAGUAAUAAUGUUUUCCAUAGCAUUUUCUUCACAAUAUUAUUUUUUUGUACUCUUUUAGCUGCACCUUAAAUUCAUCUAAUAUCUAAAAUACAUGUAUAGGACCCCAUUGAAUGUUGGUGUGAUGUAGUUGCAAACAAUGGUUAUCACAGCCUCAUAGUUUCUUCAGCUCGGAGUAUUACCUUGGAAGAGCCCUUGAUUUAUUUGGGAAAAGAAAGUGGAUGCACCAUGAGUAAUCUACAAAAAGUUGACCUAUCUGCCGCCAAAAAUCAUCAAGUACCGUGGUUCCAAACGAUGUUGUGUAUGGCUUCAGUUGUCCGUACACACCGGGUAAGAAAAUCGCUUCAUGCAUCGCGACUGAAAGCAAGCUCUAGGUAUUGGUAACUACUAAUGUCUUCUGAUUCCUCUAUGUAUAUAAUACUAAUUGUCUCCAGAUUUAUUUAAUCAUUGGAUUAAUCCUUUGCUUUCUUACACAUUGCCCAUGCAGGGGAGACCAAUCAAUCAACUAAAUAGAAGAGUUGUGCUCAUAAUGGCUUGCAUGCAACCAUAAUAUGCAUGGAACAUGUACGUGUACAUUUUUUAUUUAAUUAGUUCACGCGUCAGUUGCAUUUGUGUUCCACUUUGAUUUAUCUAUAAUAGCCUAUAUCUCUA